UGAGCAAUCUGCCCUUCUCAUCGGAAUAAGCGUUGGAAACGACGUCUAAUGCCGAAUACGACCUCCUUUCGCAUGAUCGGAGGUGGAAAGCUCCGGCGGAGAAGGAUGAGCUCGCGGCCUAUCAGCUUGUUGGUGAGGUAAUUGCUCACCAAGGCGACGACGGGUAGCCGGCCUGAGAGGGUGACCGGCCACACUGGGACUGAGACACGGCCCAGACUCCCGUAGGGA
RNAcentral lists this ribosomal RNA (228 nucleotides) under uncultured bacterium. RNAcentral describes it as "partial 16S ribosomal RNA". It matches the Rfam family "Bacterial small subunit ribosomal RNA", at positions 118 to 346 of the family's 1533-position model. The record is from RNAcentral.